UACGUAGGUGGCGAGCGUUGUCCGGAUUUAUUGGGCGUAAAGCGAGCGCAGGUGGUUUAUUAAGUCUGGUGUUAAAGGCAGUGGCUCAACCAUUGUAUGCAUUGGAAACUGGUAGACUUGAGUGCAGGAGAGGAGAGUGGAAUUCCAUGUGUAGCGGUGAAAUGCGUAGAUAUAUGGAGGAACACCGGUGGCGAAAGCGGCUCUCUGGCCUGUAACUGACACUGAGGCUCGAAAGCGUGGGGAGCAAACAGG
This 252-nucleotide ribosomal RNA is filed under the name uncultured bacterium. Its description in RNAcentral is "partial 16S ribosomal RNA". It matches the Rfam family "Bacterial small subunit ribosomal RNA", at positions 524 to 776 of the family's 1533-position model. The record is from RNAcentral.